Molecule: long non-coding RNA, 3472 nt
Organism: Cygnus olor (mute swan)
Lineage: Eukaryota; Metazoa; Chordata; Aves; Anseriformes; Anatidae
Exons: 2
Source: RefSeq, a predicted model, not a curated record
CACAUUAGGAGAACAUCUUUUAAAAUAUGGCUCAAGCUAAUUUUAAGCAUGGUUGGAAAAAUUUGGCCUACGCUGAUUAAAAUCUGUACUUAAAUGAAAGGAAAAUUUAACCACAGAAAAUAUGCUUAGUUUGGAAAAACAAGCAUAUCACUGCCAAAGUGCUGUCCUAAGUUUAGACUGCUGCCUAACGUUAUAAUUAGGAGAAACUAAAAUGAAUUUCUAAAUGUUUCAAGAUGAAACAGCCAUUGGGUAAUUUGCAAGAUAUAUGAUUAUCUUCUGAAUUCAAACACAGUGCUAAUACUCAAUCUGAACAAAUGCAGACUGUUGCUUGUGUGGAGAUUGGGGAAAUCAAUGUUAAAAUCCAUAGUAACACUAGGUAAGAGUAAACGCAAUGAAACCUAAGAGCAAAAUUACCAAGUGAUGUGGAAUUAAUUACUCAGACAUAAAGAAUAUUAUUUGAGGAAGAAAACAGUUUAGAAUCUACCGUUUACCACUUCUGUCUCUCCAAGAGCUGACCAAACUGAAAAAAAAAGGCUUCUCAGUGCUUUUACCACUGUUAAAACCGCUUUAGUGGCCAUAUUAAGUGGUUCACGCAAGUUCUCACAUGCAGGACAGUAAUAUUUUCACCUUCAAACACCAGAGAAGGUCUUCCUAAUGGACUUGAAAGGUCAUAAGGCACAUUUUCUUUAACUUCCCAAAUAACAUUUGUAUCUGGGUUGAAUCAUUAUCACACCAAACAAGCAAAAAGUAAGAGAAAAAAAUACCACACAAUAACCCCAGGUCUGUAUGUUCAUUUCAUGUACAACCACAAUAAAAUCCAGUUACCAUGAACAGUUGGCUAAAUCUUCACCUGAGACAACUAACAAGGUUUCAUGAAAUCAAACUCGAUUCCUAUUUUAAAAUCAUGAUGAUGUGGGCUUGUCAGAACCAGCACUACCUGUUAUUGUUUCUCUUCAGUUCAGCAAGAGAAAUGAUGUGCUUGGUUUUACUUCUUGUUUCAUUUCUUGUACCUUGAUACCCACAAGGACAUAAAUGGCAGGUUUAUACCAAAGGAUGAUCAAAAAACUUGCAAGUCACAGAAGUUUUAGUAUUACAGAGAAAGUCUUGGAAAAGACUGUGUCAAAGCAGCAAGAUGAAAAAACAGUUUUGUUUCAGGGAAUCCCCAGAAAAGAAUAAGCCCAUUAUCAGAUUAAACGCAAAUUCAUUUUCUCAGACUUAUGAAAGGACAGUGUAUUAACCAAGUCGAGCAAUUACUUUUGUAUUGACCGGUAAAGCCUCCCUCCAUAAGCAGACAUAUGAGAAAAAGCCCUAAAAAAAAGAAGAAAUAUUUUGUCUAGGUUUAAAGAAGUCUACUAACAUUGUUCUCUACCAUCUCAUCCUAUCCUGCAAUAGCAACAAGGGCCUUUAUAAAGCACAGCUGUCUUUCAGGAGUCAUAAACUUUUUGUCCAAGUCAACAAAAAGUUACAUAAACCAAAGUGCAAGCCUUUCCACACACUCAGAAAGGAUCUGUUUCAAAAAGUCAACUCUCUAAAGGUUCCAUUUUCCACUCUCCUAGCUCUAAGAGCUGACCAAACAUUGCACAAUGUAAACAAGCCAGCUAGUUCCCAGUCCGUAGCUAAUAAAACAUUAAACCAGAUUAUGUAACUCAAUAUCGGACACAGGAAUCUUGUCUGCCUGUUCUCAGCACCACAACCUGAAGAAACAAGUGAACAAGGGACAACCUUGAAAAAGACUGUCAGUGGAGAACAGGAGUAAGAAAUAUGGAAAGAAGAAAUGGACAGGCAUCAAUAGAAGUACCUGCUGGAGAAGCAGAGGCUCUGCAGGAACAGAUGAAACACAUGACAGCCCGUCACUUGAGCAAACAGAGGACGGAUUUGUUGAAUCAAGUAACCUUAACACUGCUAAAAUCCCCACUGAAGCUCUCUAUUCUAAGUAUUAAAAAACACUACAAAAUCUGAUGAGCCAACCAACAUUUCAGCGGUGUUCAUUUUAAGACAUACUUUGACUUUCCUACUUUUUAAUCCUAGUUUCCCCAUUUUGUAACAAAGAAAAGCAAAUAGACUGUCUGUUGUUUUUUUUUUUUCAUGUUACUGCAAAAUAAGCUUGUGCUUGAUAAAGACUAAAUCAUUGCCAGGGUAAAUACUACUGAAAAGUCUAAGUGUCCAAAAGCAGAGAUUAGGCGUUGUCUUUAAAAGAAGAAACGUCUCCUAUGUAGAUGCUUAGCAAUCAAUAAUCAAAAUAUGCAACCCAUUAUGUAAGCACACCCCACUUAAUAAACUAGGUUAAGUAUGGCUUACAAAUAAUUACAUCCAAGAAUGGUAUCACGAUGAAUACGCAUAAGAACCAAAGCGAGGCUGCACACGUAGUUUAACUCUAGCAUUUAUUUCUGGUACCCAGCUUUCUACAGCCAGUUAAGUUCUCAGCAGUUUGGCUGUCACAAGUUACAGACCUUGUUCUGACCCCCCUCCUGCACUUCUUGCACAUGGGACAUUUGGGUCAAAGUUUAGUUUUGCUACAGAGUAAAUCUAGCCGAGAUAGCAGCAUGCACGGCAUCACCAAUGGGAGAAGUGACAAGAGGCACGGCGACUAGGGAAAACCACAGGAGGAUGGUUGGAAAAAAAAUGAAACAAAUCUACACAGAACUUUACUGUAAUCUUCUACAGAAGUCUACACUGACUCUGCUUUCUUAAGAAGAACAGAUGCUAAGGAUGAGAGUAUAACAACAAUCAUGCGAUUGUCUCUUUAGAUAUAAUAGAAUUAAAGGUACUGAAGCCAAGGUUUCGUGACGUACACUUUUCACACAACGUGUUCCCAGACGAUCUCAGGCACUCCCCUGCGGCGUGUCCCCGCCCGGCAUCUCCGCGGCUCGCAGCCCUCCUACAACGCUCCGGCCAUGCCUGGGGAGGAAGGGAAGCAGGCCACCCGAUCAAGGAGGGGAUAUUGAUGAAGAGCUACUUUUUCAGCUACAGGAAGCAUCAUGCUUGAAGGCCCUGAUCUUGCUAGGUGGCUUCAACCACCCUGACACCUAAUGGAAAAGCAACACAGCAAACUGCAAGCAAUCCAGGAGACUACUAGAAUGCAUCGAGGAUAGCUUCCUAGCAGAGGUGAUAGAAAGCCCAACCAGAGGAGACACGCUGCUGGACCUGUUGCUCACCAAUGCUGAAAAACUUAUCAGAGGGAUCAAGACUGGAGAUACCCUGGGCUUUGGUGAACAUGCUCUGGUAGAAUUCUCAGUCUCGAUGGAUUCAGGAUGGGCAGAAUAUAAAGGCAAGACACUAAAUCUCAGAAAGGCAAACUAUUGGCUGUUUAGGGUACUAGUGCGAGGGAUCCCUUGGGAAAGUACCCUCAGAGAUAAAGGAGUGAAUGAGAGAUGAGAGAUAUGUAAAGACAUUUUCUUAGGACACAAUAGCUCGUGGUAACGACACUUUGUUUUUGCUGGGAAUGCUGUCAGGAGAUACUAAUUAAAGUUUG